GCUCUCUCGCUAUAUAAAACUCAGGAGCAGACAGGUAUUUUCUCAGAGGCAGGUUGUUCGGUAGUUUCUACCGGACUUCCAGAAGAUGGGCACAGGUAGUGGGACGCGAAUACCACUAUGGAUAUCAAUACUAGCACUUGCCUUUACACAGACCAAAGUUCAAGUCCAGGGCGAAGAACAACAAUCACAAUCAAACUAUGAUUCUCUAUCCUUCCUGCAGAGAAAAAACAGUCUUUCACUGGGUACUAAAUCCCAUGGAUUGACAAUCAUUCCACCUCUUCAAAACACACUGAACGUAAAGGGUAAGUUCAACAAAUGUCAUGGCUCAGAUAUAUAUUUGUUGAUCAAACAGGCAGAAAGAAUAUGGAGUGAACUGAACAGAUUGGUAAAUUGUGUAAGAUCUUUUAGCCUCAUAGAAUAUAAAAUGAACAAGAAAAGUAGUCAGUUCAUCAAAUAAUGAUAAUCUAUAUGUGGCUUGAUGCUCAGCUUGUAUAUUGUUAAUAUGAUGAGGCUGAAAAAAAAAACAGAACAAAUGUAAUACUUGGAUAAAUCAUGCACACUAUUUCCAGUAAAGAAAGGGAAACGAUAAUGUGCUCAAAAUAUUGGUGAGAUACCUUAUCUUGGCAACCUAAGAGGAGGGUAUCUAUGGCAAAUUGCAGAAAAUUCUUAUGGCUCAUUUUGAAUCCACAGCUGGCAACCCCUCUCACAAUGGCCGUGUGUGCAGCACAUGGGGUAACUUCCACUUCAAGAACUUCGACGGGGACAUCUUUUAUUUCCCUGGGGUCUGCAAUUACAUCUUUGCAUCCAACUGCAAAUCUUCCUAUGAGGAUUUCAACAUCCAGAUUAGGCGUACAAUGGUGGAAAAUGCUACCAUGAUCACCCACGUCAUCAUGAAGCUGGAAGGAGCAGUGGUUGAACUGACCCGCACAUCCGUCCUGGUCAAUGGCCAACAGUAUGUUCAUAUCUUCUGCUAUGAACUGAAAUUGCCAUGACUGCCCUUGUUCUCAGAAGGCUCUUUGAGCAAGCAUCCCUUUCUUUCAUCUCAUCUCUUAUUGCUCCCACGCAGCUGUAGGACUCAUGUCCUUCCUGAGGCCCCAGCAAAAAUAAGAGGGUCUGACAGUGAGCUGUCAUUUCUACAGAUUAUUCUUGUGUUCAUUUUAUUCAGAUGAUCUGUAACCCAGAUGCUGUCCCCCUCUAGUAUAAACAUAUAUAUAUAAAUAUAUAUACAAUCAAAUGUAUAAGUUGGAUUUAGUCAAAGUGUUAGGCUUUUACACCCUUUAAGUUUCUACUUUCCAUUAACUUCACAUGAACAGGAGCCCUGCAAUGAAUUUCUGACUGUUCUUGUCCUUGCUCUGAAGACUGUGCAGUUAAGCACACUGCAACUGUAGCUUGCACCUGGGCUCAUUUUAAACAAGCUAGUCUGGGAACUUCCUAUCUAUGUAGUAAUGAUAGCAUUGAUUUUGGCAAAGGGUGUGAAACUUGUCCAAAAGUUUGGGUAAAUAUUUGGACAGCUAUGCCACAAUGAUAUAUGUAUUACAGCAGCUAUAUAUGGCAAGCUAGUAGAAAGGCUAUCUGGAGUACAUCUUUGUGAAUGGCACUCAUGCCACAGAAAGCACGAAGAGUAUCUCUUUAUUAUCAAGAGCUUUAAGGAAUAAAUAGUAAUAUCAUGAAGCAUAAUGCCUGCAAAACAGAACUUCCCAGAACGUUUUUGAACAAUAUAACUGAAGACAUGCCAACAUUUCA
Molecule: long non-coding RNA, 1743 nt
Filed under: Anas platyrhynchos (mallard)
Lineage: Eukaryota; Metazoa; Chordata; Aves; Anseriformes; Anatidae
Description: lncRNA (ENSAPLG00020000987.1)
Source: RNAcentral